RNAcentral lists this ribosomal RNA (523 nucleotides) under Palaemon gracilis. Its description in RNAcentral is "partial 16S ribosomal RNA". It matches the Rfam family "Bacterial large subunit ribosomal RNA", at positions 1833 to 2620 of the family's 2925-position model. Lineage: Eukaryota; Metazoa; Arthropoda; Malacostraca; Decapoda; Palaemonidae. The record is from RNAcentral.
UAUGGUAGAUCUAUAAAGUCUAGCCUGCCCACUGAGUUUUUAAAGGGCCGCGGUAAUUUGACCGUGCGAAGGUAGCAUAGUAAGUAGUCUUUUAAUUGGAGACUUGAAUGAAUGGUUGGAUGAAAGGUAGACUGUCUUUCUAGUCGGUUAUAAAAUUUAACUUUUAAGUGAAAAGGCUUAAAUUUAUUAGGGGGACGAUAAGACCCUAUAAAACUUUACAUAAAAAACUAUAGUCUAUGAAUUAUAUUUAAGGGGAGUCUAGUCUUUUGUGUUUUGUUGGGGCGACAUGGAUAAAAAGUAACUGUCUAUUAAAAUUUAAUAAUAAUAAUUAGUUUUUGAUCCUUUAGUAUGGAUUAAAAGAAUAAGUUACUUUAGGGAUAACAGCGUGAUUUUUCCUGAGAGUUCUUAUCGACGGAAGUAGUUGCGACCUCGAUGUUGAAUUAAAAUUUCGGUUAGGUGUAGCCGCUUAACUAGUAGGUCUGUUCGACCUUUAAAAUUUUACAUGAUUUGAGUUCAAACCGGU